UACGAACCGUCCAAACGUUAUUCGGAAUCACUGGGCUUACAGAGUUCGUAGGCGGCGGAGAAAGUAGGGUGUGAAAGCCCUCGGCUCAACCGAGGAAUAGCGCCCUAAACUACUUCGCUUGAGGAGGCUAGAGGUGAGCAGAACAGAUGGUGGAGCGGUGAAAUGCGUUGAUAUCAUCUGGAAUACCGGAGGCGAAGGCGGCUCACUGGGACCUUUCUGACGCUGAGGAGCGAAAGCGUGGGGAGCGAACAGG
Molecule: ribosomal RNA, 253 nt
Filed under: uncultured bacterium
Lineage: Bacteria
Description: partial 16S ribosomal RNA
Rfam family: Bacterial small subunit ribosomal RNA
Source: RNAcentral